UUCCCCUAGUAGCGGCGAGCGAACCGGGAGAAGCCCAGCUUGAAAAUCGCGUCGCUUCGCGGCGCGAGUUGUAGUCUGGAGAAGCGUCCUCUGCUGCGGACUUGGCCCAAGUCCCCUGGAAAGGGGCGUCAGAGAGGGUGAGAACCCCGUCGGGCCGAGACCCUGCUGCUCCACGAGGCGCUGUCGACGAGUCGGGCUGUUUGGGAAUGCAGCCCUAAGCGGGAGGUAAAUUCCUUCCAAGGCUAAAUACGGGCGGGAGACCGAUAGCGAACAAGUACCGCGAGGGAAAGAUGAAAAGGACUUUGAAAAGAGAGUUAAAAAGUGCUUGAAAUUGCUGGGAGGGAAGCGAAUGGAGGCCUCGUGUGCGCCCCGGUCGGAUGCGGAACGGCGUGAUUGCUGGUCCGCCGCUCGACGCGGGGUGCUGGUCAGCGUGGGCUGUUGCGGCGGGAGAAAAGUCUGGCCUUCAGUGGCCGGCCGAUGCCGUCGCGGCGGCCGAGGAAUCGAAGCGCGCGUCCCUCGGGACGGGACCUUUCGGGGUCACCUGCGCGCUCGAGACGCUGGCGUAGUGGGCUUUUCAUCCGACCCGUCUUGAAACACGGACCAAGGAGUCUAACAUGCAUGCGAGCCGGUGGGCGGCAAACCCACGUGAGGCGCAAAUAACUUAACUGGUGUGAUCCUCCUCCGCGGGGUGCAACAUCGACCGACCAUGAGCUUCUGCGAAAGGUUCGAGUAAGAGCAUGCCUGUUGGGACCCGAAAGAUGGUGAACUAUGCCUGAGCAGGGCGAAGUCAGAGGAAACUCUGGUGGAGGCUCGUAGCGAUACUGACGUGCAAAUCGUUCGUCAGACUUGGGUAUAGGGGCGAAAGACUAAUCGAACCAUCUAGUAGCUGGUUCCCUCCGAAGUUUCCCUCAGGAUAGCUGGAGCACGAGGAGUUUCAUCAGGUAAAGCGAAUGAUUAGAGGCAUCGGGGGUGAAACACCCUCGACCUAUUCUCAAACUUUAAAUAGGUGAGAUCCGACGGGGUUGCUUAAUUGAACCCCCGGCGGAGAAUCCGA
RNAcentral lists this ribosomal RNA (1054 nucleotides) under Marchantia polymorpha subsp. ruderalis. Its description in RNAcentral is "eukaryotic LSU rRNA". It matches the Rfam family "Eukaryotic large subunit ribosomal RNA", at positions 75 to 1117 of the family's 3401-position model. The record is from RNAcentral. Lineage: Eukaryota; Viridiplantae; Streptophyta; Marchantiopsida; Marchantiales; Marchantiaceae.